Felis catus (domestic cat) is the source of this 774-nucleotide long non-coding RNA. RefSeq lists it as uncharacterized. Lineage: Eukaryota; Metazoa; Chordata; Mammalia; Carnivora; Felidae. The record is from RefSeq and is a predicted model, not a curated record. The transcript is spliced from 3 exons.
CUGAGGCUCCGAUUGCGACGGGCGGCGUGCGGGCACCUGGCCCAGUGGAGGUGUGGGGAUCGGCCAACCUCUCAGGGCCUGCCCGGGUCCAAUGGCGGCAGCGGCGGCGCUGGGGGACCCGGACCAGCAUCCGCAUAGGCUAGGGGACCUUUGAGGAUGUGGCCAUGUACUUCUCCUGGGAGGAGUGGGAGAUCCUUGAUGAAGCUCAGAGACAUCUGUACUGCGAUGUAAUGCUUGAGAACUUGGCGCUUGUGGCCUCACUGGGUUGUUGGUAUGGAAUGAAAAAGCCCCUCUUGAACAGUGUGUUUCAGGAGUGUUUCAGUUCAGAACGCCUAAGGCAGGUCCUUCCACCCAGAAGGACAUGUGUGGCCUUCCACCCACUUGUGACAUGUGUGGCCUGGUCUUGAAAGACGUAUUAUACCUGGCUAAGCAUCAGGCAAUACACCCUAGGCAGAAGCCAUACAAAUGUGAGACAUGUGGGAGAGGCUUCUGGCUCAGUACAAACUCUCACCAGCACCAGAAGGAGCACAGUGAAGAAAAACUCUUCACAUGCAGCCAGGACCUCCUCCAGCAUCAGACCACUCACACUACGGGGAAGCUGAACAGGAGCCCCGCACGCAAGGAGGCCUUCUAACCCAGCACCAGUUGCCAGCAGCAGCAGGCAGUCCAUGCCACACAGAAGCCCUUCAAGUGCAGCAACUGUGGGGGAGCCUUUCUGAAGGCGUUUAUGCUCCUUGACCACCUGAUAACUCACUCCAAAGAAAGACCCUUCAG